GUGAUAAUGAAGGCUGUUAGAUUAAUUUGCCAAGAAAGUAAGGAAUUCCUAGGAAAUGGAAUUAUUUUGCCUCAAACAACAGAGGCUAGGAGACGCUGAGGAGUAUUUUGUGAUGAUGCUGAGUAGUUUAGAGAUUUUAUCCUCAGCAAGUUUCCCAUCAGCUAUUCAUUUAGAAUGAACACUAUUGGCUGGCUUAUACACUGCUUUUGAACCACGUGUUAAAUUACAUGAAUGGACACCUUUCUCUGUGUGUGAGUAGUUGUUAAGAGCUUGGUUUUUGAAGCCAAAAUGACCAACGAGAUUCAGAUCUUGGCUCUGCCAUUUAUUAACAGCGACUUUGGGCAAGUGACUUCACCUGUCUGUGCCUCAUCUGUAAAUCAGGAACAAUAAUAACACCAAUUCAUAGCCAGCCUGGCUUGCCACAGUCCACCUACUGGUAUUCACACCCACGUGUUGUUCCCUGCUAUGUAGUACCAGGUAUUUUUGUGUGACCCGUAGAACACAGCAGAAGUGGUGGUGUGCCACUUCUGAUAUUAGGUUAUAAAAGAUAUUGCAUCUUCAAUUUUGUUCUCUUUCUUUCUUCUUUGUCUUUCUGUCCUUUAUCUUUUUUUUCCCUCUCUCUCUCUUUCUGAUCACUUGCUUUAAGGGAAGCCAGAUGUCAUGUGUGGCGAGGCAGCCUAGAGAGAGGUCCCUAUGGUGAGAAACUGGGGCCCCGCUAACAGCCACCUAAGUGAGCUUGGAAGUGGAUCCUCUAGCACCUUAGGACUGCAGCCCUGGCCAGUAGUUUGACUGUCUCCUCAUGAGAGAACCUAUGCCAGAAUCACCAACUAAGCCUUUCCCAAAUUCCUGACCCACAGAAACUGUGAACUGGCCAUCUUGCCUGUUUUCAUAAAAGUCUGAAAUACGGAGGAGACCCUGAUUUAUAUUUUCCAUAGAAGAGAAGAGAGAUUGAGAUGACUCUCUUGCAGUGAGGUAUGGCGUGUCCUCUCCAUGACAAUGUGAGGGAAAGUGAUGUAUGCCACUUCCAGGUUCUAUGGAACCCUGGAAUGAAGAGGAUGCCAACCUUGAAAAGCUAUUCUAGUUCUUUCAAUGUGCCAUAAUGGUAUAGGAGCAAAUGUUUCUGCUGAGGUGAGGACACCAUGUUCCUCUACUGUUGUGGAUGCAGCCCUCACCAGACGACCGAACCUGCCAGUGCCUUGUUCUUGGACUUCCUAGCCUUCAGAACUGUGAGUAGUCUAUUUCUGUUAUUUGUAAAUUACCUAGUUCCAGGUGUUCUGUUAUACCAGUGCAAAAUGGAUGAAGAUGGGGAAAUAUCUAGGGAUUAAAUUGAUG
This 1332-nucleotide long non-coding RNA is filed under the name Homo sapiens (human). Its description in RNAcentral is "HSALNT0047571". The record is from RNAcentral. Lineage: Eukaryota; Metazoa; Chordata; Mammalia; Primates; Hominidae.